UUCAUCCAUGGGCAUGGCAGUUACUGUUAAGCAAUGAUGACCUGCUUUCCUGCUGAGCAUGGAAGCAGCCUCAGAAAACAUUGCAUCUCAUCAAAAGAGUCAAGUAAUCCACUGGGCAGAUGGGAUAAAACUUAUUUCCUGACUGUUUUGGGCUAUGAUUUCUUAAAGGACAAACUUGAAGGGCUCAGAUUCAAGCCUUGUGACAAGAAAUAGCUUCUAAGUCAAGAAAAAGUCAAUCAGGUUCAUCAAUUGUAACAAAUAUACCACAGACCGAUGCUAUGUCUGAUACACUGGACUAAAUUGAACAGUUGAAACUGCAGGAAAUGAAAAGCGUUAUGUUAUGGUGCCUGGCGAACCAUGAUGCCUGCCAGCUCUUCAGAUAAAGAGGAUCCACUUAUUAAUCUGCUCUGUCUCCAUCUGCCUGCUCAAUUGGGAUUGACUGCUUGCUGUCCAGACUGAUACCAGGGAAAUCUGAUUGAGGACAAGAAUGUCUUUGUACAUUUCCCCCACUGAUACAGCACAACAGGUCUGUUGCAGCCAGGGAGUUAAGCUGAUGUGACAUGAUGUCAGAUGGCCUGCCAUUGUA
This is a long non-coding RNA of Equus caballus (horse), 586 nucleotides long. RefSeq lists it as uncharacterized. NCBI's taxonomy places the organism in Eukaryota, Metazoa, Chordata, Mammalia, Perissodactyla, Equidae. The record is from RefSeq and is a predicted model, not a curated record.